CUUGAUAACAAGGCAACGUGGUAAAACCAGGAGCACUACACCCCAGGUCUGCAGGACAGCACCCAGCCUGAAGGGGCUGGCACCUGGACUGGCCUGCAGGUCUACUUCCGAGUUAGGACUGCUCUGCACCAGAGUCCUUGUGAGAUGGCUAAGACUGACUCCUGUGUGACAGCCCACAUGAUCUGGGACAGCCAUUUCAACACCUUCUCCAAGAAUACUCCAAACCAGGAUAAAGUCCAUUUCUACAAUAAAAUCCUUGAAAGGAAAACAAAGAAGUGCACCCUCAGAGUUAAGAUACGGAACAUCAAUGUACUUUCAAGACUCUCUAUGUGCCCCACCCAGACUGCUUCCUCUUUCCUUCCUAGAGCCUAUGAUCAACCCCCCGAUGUCAACAGUACAUUUGUCAGCAUGAUAAAUGUCAUCAGUUUCGCCACAUCCAGUUUGGGCUUCUGUUGGGUUCAAGUUUUUCCCUUCUUCAAUUUCAG
This is a long non-coding RNA of Sciurus carolinensis (gray squirrel), 485 nucleotides long. RefSeq lists it as uncharacterized. The transcript has 3 exons. Lineage: Eukaryota; Metazoa; Chordata; Mammalia; Rodentia; Sciuridae. The record is from RefSeq and is a predicted model, not a curated record.